AGUAACACUUUCUAAUGAUGUUCCUUUUUUAAAUAUUUUAAAAGAGUAAUAUCAAUUUAAUAUGCUUAGAAGUAUGACAAAGCAUAAUUAUAUUUAAAUUAUUACAUAGAAAUACAAAUAUUAAAUGACAAUUUAUGAAAUAUUUCAGCGUAUACCAAUCUUAUGAAACUAAAUACCAAAUCAUUCAUAAAUUUAAUCUAUCAUGACUUUAACACGUACACAUCGUUUACGAAUACAAACUGCUUUAAAUGAUUUCCAACAAGGAAGACAUAAACAAUCAGCAUCUUGUGUACAUUUAAAUCUAGUCGCUGUAAAAAAAGAGAAUAAAACAACUUAAAUAAUAUAUGAAAAAUAUAAUAUAUGAAUUAAAGAAUUAAGUUUAUUAAGAAUAAAAAGUACUUACCUUCAAUGUUCAGUGCAAGGGGAAUUAUGAAAAAAAAUAUAAUUAUAGCCGAAACAAACUUAGAAACUAGAGCCAUUUAUUCCUUUGUACAUGUAACAAAUUGUUCUAUCAUUUUAUAAUUUGUAAAGUCCUAUCAUCUCCUUACAUCAAUUAAGUAGUUUUUAGCGUUUAUAUAUGCCGCAUUCUUUUAAUAAUAAUAG
This 603-nucleotide long non-coding RNA is filed under the name Lathyrus oleraceus (garden pea). RNAcentral describes it as "Pisum sativum (pea) long non-coding RNA (PSAT_LNC020962)". Lineage: Eukaryota; Viridiplantae; Streptophyta; Magnoliopsida; Fabales; Fabaceae. The record is from RNAcentral.